This 495-nucleotide ribosomal RNA is filed under the name uncultured bacterium. RNAcentral describes it as "partial 16S ribosomal RNA". It matches the Rfam family "Bacterial small subunit ribosomal RNA", at positions 28 to 507 of the family's 1533-position model. The record is from RNAcentral.
GACGAACGCUGGCGGCGUGCCUAAUACAUGCAAGUAGAACGCUGAAGGAGGAGCUUGCUUCUCUGGAUGAGUUGCGAACGGGUGAGUAACGCGUAGGUAACCUGCCUGGUAGCGGGGGAUAACUAUUGGAAACGAUAGCUAAUACCGCAUAAUAGUAGAUGUUGCAUGACAUUUGCUUAAAAGGUGCAAUUGCAUCACUACCAGAUGGACCUGCGUUGUAUUAGCUAGUUGGUGGGGUAACGGCUCACCAAGGCGACGAUACAUAGCCGACCUGAGAGGGGGAUCGGCCACACUGGGACUGAGACACGGCCCAGACUCCUACGGGAGGCAGCAGUAGGGAAUCUUCGGCAAUGGACGGAAGUCUGACCGAGCAACGCCGCGUGAGUGAAGAAGGGUUUCGGAUCGUAAAGCUCGGUUGUAAGAGAAGAACGAGUGUGAGAGUGGAAAGUUCACACUGUGACGGUAGCUUACCAGAAAGGGACGGCUAACUACGUG